This is a long non-coding RNA of Sinocyclocheilus rhinocerous, 444 nucleotides long. RefSeq lists it as uncharacterized. NCBI's taxonomy places the organism in Eukaryota, Metazoa, Chordata, Actinopteri, Cypriniformes, Cyprinidae. The transcript is spliced from 3 exons. The record is from RefSeq and is a predicted model, not a curated record.
UCUAUCUCCUCUAUCACUCUAUAUUGCUCUAAGUGCUUUAUAAUCAUGCCAGGUGUAAAGGGUGCCAAAGAUUAACAUGUUAUUUUUGUUUGUUUUUGUUGUCAGUUUGAGGAGCUGAAAAGGGCAAAGUUAAAGGACAUUAGUAUUUAUGUGUCUAAAACACGGCUGUGUGUUCAUAACCUGCCUAAGAGUGUGGAUCAACAGAAACUUCAGAAGCUGUGCCUCUCUGCUGCUGGUGGUAAAGGGGUCUGCAUUACUGAGUGUCGUGUGAUGUAUGACAAGAAGCCUAUUCGGGGUCAGGUGAUUGGCAAGUCUCUAGGAUACGGCUUUGUGGAGUUUAAAGAGCAUGAACAUGCUCUACAAGCCCUACGUCACCUCAACAACAACCCAGACAUCUUUGGACCCCAAAAGAGACCCAUAGUGGAGUUCUCUCUGGAGGAUGGA